CUGGCUCAGGAUGAACGCUGGCGGCGUGCCUAACACAUGCAAGUCGAACGAAGCAUAUCUAACGGAGAUUCGUCGAAGCUGGAUAUGACUUAGUGGCGGACGGGUGAGUAAUGUAUGAGCAACCUGCCUUUCAGAGGGGGACAACAGUUGGAAACGACUGCUAAUACCGCAUAACGUAUUUGGGUGGCAUCACCUGGAUACCAAAGGAGCAAUCCGCUGAAAGAUGGGCUCAUAUCUGAUUAGCUUGUUGGCGGGGUAACGGCCCACCAAGGCGACGAUCAGUAGCCGGACUGAGAGGUUGAACGGCCACAUUGGGACUGAGAUACGGCCCAGACUCCUACGGGAGGCAGCAGUGGGGAAUAUUGGGCAAUGGGCGAAAAAGCCUGACCCAGCAACGCCGCGUGAAGGAAGAAGGUCUUCGGAUUGUAAACUUCUUUUAUGAGGGACGAAGGACGUGACGGUACCUCAUGAAUAAGCCACGGCUAACUACGUGCCAGCCGCCGC
RNAcentral lists this ribosomal RNA (504 nucleotides) under uncultured bacterium. RNAcentral's name for it is "bacterial SSU rRNA". It matches the Rfam family "Bacterial small subunit ribosomal RNA", at positions 19 to 518 of the family's 1533-position model. The record is from RNAcentral.